This 1058-nucleotide ribosomal RNA is filed under the name uncultured fungus. Its description in RNAcentral is "eukaryotic LSU rRNA". The stretch from base 645 to 1058 matches the Rfam family "Eukaryotic large subunit ribosomal RNA", at positions 1 to 429 of the family's 3401-position model. The record is from RNAcentral. Lineage: Eukaryota; Fungi.
UCCGUAGGUGAACCUGCGGAAGGAUCAUUACCACACCGAUCCAUGAUCUCCCCUGAAUUUUUUCACCAGACGCCCGUUUGGAAGACCAAAAGGCCAUGGUGGAAUAAGCUUGGCGCUGUUUGUCUGCAGCGACAAGAUAACCCCCCCUUGAAAAGAUGGAACGAUGUCACAGUGUUGUAACUGAAUGCAAGGCACGCGUGAUGUGUGUCAUUGCAAGUGAAAUGAGUGCAACUUUCAGCAAUGGAUGUCUGGGUUCUCACAACGAUGAAGAACGCAGCGAAAUGCGAUACGUAAUGCGAAUUGCAGAACGUGAAUCAUCAAGUCUUUGAACGCACAUGGCGCUUCCUCACGGAAGCAUACUUGUUUCAGUGUCAACUCGUCUCACAACCCGCACUGGGCUUUGUGGUGUCGGAGUGGCGUGGGCGCUCCGCCCAAGUCGCUUGAAGAGAGGACGUUGGAGCUCCCUGUGGCAGUCGCACUCCAAACAGUGCGUCAGACCGCGGUGUGGUAAGUUGGCGCGAGCCAAUGAACACCCCCGUGCUCUCUGACUCGCACUGGCGCUGCCCAGUUUUGGCUUUGCUCUGCAGGUGCGGCACGCUCGCACCGACAACCCCCCUGCGUCGGUCCUCACGGACUGACUUCUCUGACCUGAAAUCAAGUAAGAUUACCCGCUGAAUUUAAGCAUAUAACUAAGCGGAGGACAAGAAACUAACAAGGAUUCCCUCAGUAACGGCGAGUGAACCGGGAUGAGUCCAAGCCUGAAACCCGUCAGGGAUUGUGGCCUAGAGGGGGUAUUCCAGGGAUCUGGUGCGCCUAAGUGUGGUCGAAUCCACCGCCUAAGAGGGUGUCAGCCCCGUCAGCGCGCUAGUGAACGUUCGGACGCCUUCCACAGAGUCGUGUUGCUUGAGAGUGCAGCACUAAUUGGGUGGUAAAUUCCAUCUAAGGCUAAAUAUCAGCAAGAGACCGAUAGCGAACAAGUACUGUGAAGGAAAGAUGAAAAGAACUUAGAAAAGAGGGUUAAAAGUACGUGAAAUUGCUGAAAGGGAAACGCUUGAAGU